GAUGAACGCUGGCGGCGUGCCUAAUACAUGCAAGUCGAGCGGACGGACGAGAAGCUUGCUUCUCUGAUGUUAGCGGCGGACGGGUGUGUAACACGUGGAUAACCUACCUAUAAGACUGGGAUAACUUCGGGAAACCGGCGCUAAUACCGGAUGAUAUUUUGAACCGCAUGGUUCAAAGGUGAAAGACGGUCUUGCUGUCACUUAUCGCUGGUUCCGCGCUGCAUGAGCUAGUUGGUAAGGUAACGGCUUACCAAGGCUACGAUGCAUAGCCGACCGGAGAGGGUGAUCGGCCACACUGGAACUGAGACACGGUCCAGACUCCUACGGGAGGCAGCAGUAGGGAAUCUUACGCAAUGGGCGAGAGCCUGACGGAGCAACGCCGCGUGAGUGAUGAAGGUCUUCGGAUCGUAAAACUCUGUUAUUAGGGAAGAACAUAUGUGUAAGUAACUGUGCACAUCUUGACGGUACCUAAUCAGAAAGCAACGGCUAACUACGUG
Molecule: ribosomal RNA, 497 nt
Filed under: uncultured bacterium
Lineage: Bacteria
Description: partial 16S ribosomal RNA
Rfam family: Bacterial small subunit ribosomal RNA
Source: RNAcentral